This is a long non-coding RNA of Uranotaenia lowii, 1682 nucleotides long. RefSeq lists it as uncharacterized. NCBI's taxonomy places the organism in Eukaryota, Metazoa, Arthropoda, Insecta, Diptera, Culicidae. The transcript has 6 exons. The record is from RefSeq and is a predicted model, not a curated record.
AAUCGUCUGAAUCAUUUGGCUCUGAUUACAUGAAUAGUCACGAUUCCUUUUGCGACUUCGCUCAUGGCGUCUUUGCUGAGAAUGAUUUAAAAGGAUUUUUGAAAGAUACGGUUAAUGGUCUCAAAACAAAUUGAAUUUUCGCGCAUCUGAGUGUAGUGUGUCUCCGCUGUUGUUGUUCGUCAGGAAAAAAAACACGACGCUUGAGAAUCCGUAUACGAUUCCAGAAAACUCGUGAAUUUGGCCAGAAAAACCAUAACAGCACUGUAAAAUUGGCACACCGAGGCCGGUCAACAAAGAUAGUGAUAAAGCUCGACAAACUACACCCUCCAGCCGGACAAACACCGGAAGCGCCAAACAAGGUGAACCCUCCGUCGGAACAACCAGCAACACACCAUCGACAACCGCAGCAGUAGACUGAUCCGGCGGAAGAAAACAUAGCCUUUCGUACAGUUUGUGUUCUGGUUAUGUUAAAGUGAGCGGAACUCCCGAAUCGAAACUUUUGAAUCUUCCGAGGAGCACCACAUGCUACGAAAUCAGGACAACCGAAAAGUAUUCCUCAACAGAAGACCUGAACGCUCAAAAUGCCGGGAAAGGUUGCGGAUCAAUUGGCACUGUUCAUUCUCCCGGAGUAACCAUCUGUUGGCGGUUGCAUUUCGGUAGAUCAGCAGAAUCGGGUUAAAAACUUUUCCGUUCAAGAGUCUCCGGGAUUUUCUCCAAUGGCUCCGAAAAUAGCCGCGUAGCCCACCUUCUGGUCUUUAAUUUCUCCACUUUGGUCGUGUUUCUAUGAAGCCAUUCUAUGCUUAUCGAUCUAUUUUACUUAGAUCUGAAGCAACAAAAUCAACGGCAGCUGCAGCUCCGCAUCAAACACGCGUUAGGUUUUCUGCAGUCGUUAUAUCUGAAGGUUAAAAUCAAAUAAUGCUCCACCAUUGUGAAGUCUCGUCUCGUUAAACGCUGUCAAAGAAUUCUUGAUUAUGGCGGCAAGGAUUAUACUGAACACAAUUAUUACCCAUGCAUGGCAUGACCACUCACCGUCGACUAGUCAUUGGAUAGUUUUUUUGUCUCGUGUCUAGAAAAAUCUGUUCUAAACAGUGAAGCCAUGAAGCAAACGCUGUGCGUGCGUGAUACCGAUCCGACUGGUAUUCGAACUAAGAACAAUGCUACAUAUCGCUUCAGAUGCUUCUACUCAAAUGUAUCAGCAAUCUGCAUCACCCUAGGAUUCGAUCAACAUCGAGUAGGCUGCUGAAUAUUUAAAAUUAUUUAUAAAAAACGAAUUCAUGAUAAUGUUCCGAAAGUUUCAGGAUAAUGAUUUAUGAUUUAAGUUUAUGAAUCGGAACUGAACAUUAUUUGUUGAACUGAAUCUCUUUCGUGACAGUUUAGCUUAAUCAGUUAUAGUGGUAGAUAGAUACACAGAAACUUAUUUUGUUUCUGUUAGACUAGACCUAAGUAAUAUCUCUGUAUAAGACUGAGUUACUCGUAAAGGUGCUUAUUUCAAUGCAAGAUUCAAUUUUUUGUACUAUUUUUCUCAAAAGAAAUUCAUUUUAGAGUUUUUGUGACAAAUUUACUUACACGAAACCUUGAGUUUUUUUAGUCGCGAAUGCCAUUAAGAAGGUAAAACGACUAUAAUCGAAAAAAAAGAAACCUUCAGUAUUUAUUCGAGUAAUAUAUUUUCAGUAUCGUAUUUU